Molecule: ribosomal RNA, 459 nt
Filed under: Salmonella enterica subsp. enterica serovar Infantis
Lineage: Bacteria; Pseudomonadati; Pseudomonadota; Gammaproteobacteria; Enterobacterales; Enterobacteriaceae
Also listed under: 2 other names
Description: bacterial SSU rRNA
Rfam family: Bacterial small subunit ribosomal RNA
Source: RNAcentral
AAAUUGAAGAGUUUGAUCAUGGCUCAGAUUGAACGCUGGCGGCAGGCCUAACACAUGCAAGUCGAACGGUAACAGGAAGCAGCUUGCUGCUUCGCUGACGAGUGGCGGACGGGUGAGUAAUGUCUGGGAAACUGCCUGAUGGAGGGGGAUAACUACUGGAAACGGUGGCUAAUACCGCAUAACGUCGCAAGACCAAAGAGGGGGAUCUUCGGGCCUCUUGCCAUCAGAUGUGCCCAGAUGGGAUUAGCUUGUUGGUGAGGUAACGGCUCACCAAGGCGACGAUCCCUAGCUGGUCUGAGAGGAUGACCAGCCACACUGGAACUGAGACACGGUCCAGACUCCUACGGGAGGCAGCAGUGGGGAAUAUUGCACAAUGGGCGCAAGCCUGAUGCAGCCAUGCCGCGUGUAUGAAGAAGGCCUUCGGGUUGUAAAGUACUUUCAGCGGGGAGGAAGGUGUUG